UCGAGGGGUAACAGGUAGCUUGCUAUGCUGACGACCGGCGCACGGGUGAGUAACGCGUAUACAAUCUGCCUUGUACUGAGGGAUAGCCCAGAGAAAUUUGGAUUAAUACCUCAUAGUAUAUAGCCUCCACCUGGAGAUUAUAUUAAAGGUUACGGUACAAGAUGAGUAUGCGUUCUAUUAGCUAGAUGGUAAGGUAACGGCUUACCAUGGCAACGAUAGAUAGGGGCCCUGAGAGGGGGAUCCCCCACACUGGUACUGAGACACGGACCAGACUCCUACGGGAGGCAGCAGUGAGGAAUAUUGGACAAUGGGCGAGAGCCUGAUCCAGCCAUGCCGCGUGCAGGAUGACUGCCCUAUGGGUUGUAAACUGCUUUUAUACAGGAAGAAACACUCCCUCGUGAGGGAGCUUGACGGUACUGUAAGAAUAAGGAUCGGCUAACUCCGUGCCAGCAGCCGCGGUAAUACGGAGGAUCCAAGCGUUAUCCGGAAUCAUUGGGUUUAAAGGGUCCGUAGGUGGAUAAUUAAGUCAGAGGUGAAAUCCUGCAGCUCAACUGUAGAAUUGCCUUUGAUACU
Molecule: ribosomal RNA, 573 nt
Filed under: Bizionia sp. Hp47A
Lineage: Bacteria; Pseudomonadati; Bacteroidota; Flavobacteriia; Flavobacteriales; Flavobacteriaceae
Description: bacterial SSU rRNA
Rfam family: Bacterial small subunit ribosomal RNA
Source: RNAcentral